RNAcentral lists this ribosomal RNA (244 nucleotides) under uncultured bacterium. RNAcentral describes it as "partial small subunit ribosomal RNA". It matches the Rfam family "Bacterial small subunit ribosomal RNA", at positions 26 to 285 of the family's 1533-position model. The record is from RNAcentral.
AGAAUCAACGCUGGCGGCGUGCCUAACACAUGCAAGUCGAACGAGAAAGGGUAGCAAUACCUGAGUAAAGUGGCGCACGGGUGAGUAACACGUGACUAACCUACCUUUUAGUGGGGGAUAACCUAGGGAAACCUGGGCUAAUACCGCAUAAUACCUACGGGUCAAAGCAGCAAUGCGCUGAAUGAGGGGGUCGCGGUCGAUUAGUUAGUUGGCAGGGUAAUGGCCUACCAAGCUGUGAUCGAUA